Molecule: RNA transcript, 1435 nt
Organism: Rhodamnia argentea
Lineage: Eukaryota; Viridiplantae; Streptophyta; Magnoliopsida; Myrtales; Myrtaceae
Gene name: OPA3-like protein
Exons: 5
Source: RefSeq, a predicted model, not a curated record
UCGAAUCAUAUUCUCCGCUUUGGCCUCCCAAGUCGGACGACUUCUUCGUGUUCAUGCCUUCUUCUUCCUCCGACGUCGCUCUCUCUCUCUUCUCUCUCUCUCUCUACAUCAGCCUUCUUCCCCAAGAAACUCGUUCCGUUGCUCAGUCAACGAACUUUCCCACGAGUCCCUCCUUUAUAUACCGAUUUCUCUCCGCUCUACCUUCUCGCCCCAAUCAAGGAGAAGCCUUCGAAAGUCGCUUUCUUGAUCCAUCCAUCGUCGCCAGUUCGAAGAAUCCCCGUGACCCAAUUCGCUAAAUGGUUCUUCCGCUGCUGAAGCUCGGGACCCUGGUCGUCAAGACGCUGAGCAAGCCCGUCGCGAGCCGGCUCAAGCAACAGGCCGCUCUCCACCCGCGGUUCCGCGAGUUCAUCGUCGGCUUCGCUCAGGCUAACCAUCGAAUCACAACAACCAUACAAAGAAGGAUCUAUGGUCAUGCAACUGACGUGGAGAUCCGGCCUUUGAAUGAACAGAAAGCUGUACAGGCUGCAGUGGACCUGAUUGGAGAACUCUUUGUCUUUUCGGUAGCUGGAGCUCUUGUGAUCUUUGAGGUGCAUAGAAGUGCUAAAUCAGAAGCCAGAAAGGAGGAAAAACGCAGGGAAGAACUGGAGGCAAUGAGGCAAAGGGAUGAAUCUUUAGAGAAGGAGGUGGAACUUCUCAAGCAAAAACUUGCAGAGCUUGAGCAACUUGCUAAGGGACGAGGACUUUCCGGCCUUUUCAACUUCAAACAUGCUAAUUCUGAAGAUGCAAAAAUAGCGAAACCAGUUUGAGGCUUUGACCAGCAGAGUAGGAGUCAUUACUAUGAUAACAACAAGAUUCAUCCAUACCGUCCUCUCAAUUGUGGAAAGCAAUUCGUCUGGUCUUCUUUGUCAAUUCUUUGAUUUGUAUCUUGCUUGGUUUGUUUCUUCAGAAAUAGAAGGCCACAUAGUCAGAUAUUUUUGGAAGAUGAGAGGAAGGCAAUUGAAUGCAACCACGGAGGAUCUUUGACCCUGGAAUGAUUAACAUAGAGGAGUUUGGUUUCUUGAUUCAUCUGCAACUUAGCUGAAAAUUGAAGUCUACUGCAGAUUUGAUGAAGUAAUUGCAGAAAGUCACCGACAUAAUAAUCCGGUAGAUUUUGCUUUUCAUCUAAAACUGGGUCCUCAUGGUCUAUAAAGGACAAUUUGAGCAGCAAUGACUGCAUAUGCGUUAUGGGCAUCAAAAUAGGAACAACCGUCAGUUGGGGUUCCAAGGAAAUCUGAAGAAAGCUAUACUGCUCAUCAAGGGCGAAAAAUGUUUCACCAUAGAAAUUUCAUGAUAGAUUGUCGAGAAAUACCCAUUUAAGCACCUUAAGGAAUGUUUUGGGACGUCAAUCAGUCUCAAUUCUUCACAAGAAUAACAGUCCCCAGUUCCUUUUAAGCAA